Long non-coding RNA from Oncorhynchus tshawytscha (Chinook salmon), 467 nucleotides. Lineage: Eukaryota; Metazoa; Chordata; Actinopteri; Salmoniformes; Salmonidae. The record is from Ensembl.
AGGGUGGGGUUAACUAGAGGAAUGGGAUGGAGAAAUGAUUUACAAUAGGCAGGGUGGGGUUAACUAGAGUAAUGGGAUGGAGAAAUGGUUUACAAUAGGCAGGGUGGGGUUAACUAGAGUAAUGGGAUGGAGAAAUGGUUUACAAUAGGCAGGGUGGGGUUAACUAGAGUAAUGGGAUGGAGAAAUAGUUUACAAUAGGCAGGGUGGGGUUAACUAGAGGAAUGGGAUGGAGAAAUAGUUUUCAAUAGGCAGGGUGGGGUUUAACUAGAGGAAUGGGAUGGAGAAAUGUUUUACAAUAGGCAUGGUGGGGUUUACCAAGGGGAAUGAGUCCCAAAGGGCACCCUAUUUCCCAUUCCUGAACCGACGUGGGUGGACAGAGGUAGGGCGGAGAGGUAGGGAAGGGACUAGGGGGGUUGGGUGGAUGUGUUGUAUGGAGGCAGGGUGGUUGGGAAAUGGCAAAAUUUUUG